Molecule: ribosomal RNA, 443 nt
Filed under: uncultured bacterium
Lineage: Bacteria
Description: partial 16S ribosomal RNA
Rfam family: Bacterial small subunit ribosomal RNA
Source: RNAcentral
CCUACGGGAGGCAGCAGUGGGGAAUAUUGGACAAUGGGGGGAACCCUGAUCCAGCGACGCCGCGUGAGUGAAGAAGUAUUUCGGUAUGUAAAGCUCUAUCAGCAGGGAAGAAAGAAAUGACGGUACCUGACUAAGAAGCCCCGGCUAACUACGUGCCAGCAGCCGCGGUAAUACGUAGGGGGCAAGCGUUAUCCGGAUUUACUGGGUGUAAAGGGAGCGUAGACGGUUACGCAAGUCUGGAGUGAAAGGCGGGGGCUCAACCCCCGGACUGCUUUGGAAACUGUAUAACUGGAGUGCAGGAGAGGUAAGUGGAAUUCCUAGUGUAGCGGUGAAAUGCGUAGAUAUUAGGAGGAACACCAGUGGCGAAGGCGGCUUACUGGACUGUAACUGACGUUGAGGCUCGAAAGCGUGGGGAGCAAACAGGAUUAGAUACCCGAGUAGUC